GCUUUUUCUUUCUUCUUUCCAGCAUCAUCUGGCUGUCUGGCACCAUCAAAGAACUGCAUUUCUGACCCAACAGGAGCUCGUGGCUAGAUGGGGGCAGGAAGAAAGUUGGGGAAGAGACCUGUCAGCUGGGCUGCCUCACGGGGAGGGGGAAGCACGUGGCUAUACCACUCGCAUCCUGUUCAGCUUCAGCAUGAGUGUCAUCUGUGACACCUACAUGGUCCUUGCUUGAAACAGGAGGAGGAAAAAAAGCAGCUCUGGUGCUAGCAUCUCUUCUGAUGAGCCCACACCAGAAUACAACAGAAGAGAAGGCAAGGCCACACCAAAGAGGACCCAAGUCAGGUGCCAUAAGCGGGUGACGUCUCAACUCUCUGUCCUUUGGAGGAAGCUAUUUUAAUAGAGCCACUUUACUGCAGCUAUUUUGACAUGUGGAUAUUUUGAUUUG
This 442-nucleotide long non-coding RNA is filed under the name Marmota monax (woodchuck). Lineage: Eukaryota; Metazoa; Chordata; Mammalia; Rodentia; Sciuridae. The record is from RNAcentral.